RNAcentral lists this ribosomal RNA (253 nucleotides) under uncultured bacterium. RNAcentral's name for it is "partial 16S ribosomal RNA". It matches the Rfam family "Bacterial small subunit ribosomal RNA", at positions 524 to 776 of the family's 1533-position model. The record is from RNAcentral.
UACGUAGGGUGCAAGCGUUAAUCGGAAUUACUGGGCGUAAAGCGUGCGCAGGCGGUUCUUUAAGUCAGGUGUGAAAUCCCCGGGCUCAACCUGGGAACUGCAUUUGUGACUGUAGAGCUGGAGUACGGUAGAGGGGGAUGGAAUUCCGCGUGUAGCAGUGAAAUGCGUAGAUAUGCGGAGGAACACCGAUGGCGAAGGCAAUCCCCUGGACCUGUACUGACGCUCAUGCACGAAAGCGUGGGGAGCAAACAGG